AUGCUGACCUUGAGUCUUGAUUUAAUUGUGUGUAACUUAAAAGUAAAGAUUCAAGUUGAGUGUAUUUUUAAAUGGUCCAUUAACUUCAAUGUUAUAUAAGUAAACUGGUCAGCAUUAUUGACUAGUUUUAUAUAUAUUAUAAUACAGUCAAGAACAAAAUUUUUUAGAAACUAAAGUUGGAACAAGUAGAUAAGUCAUUUUAUUUUUAAUACCUACUUUGUGUGACAAACUUGUCUGCAUUUAACCAAUGUAAGAAAAUUAACAAAAGAUAUUUAGAUUUACCUGUCUGCAGGUCAGAAAAGUCCCAGUAAUAAAGUAUAACUAUCAAAUUUAUCUUUUUUAAUACUUUUUUGUGUGUGUUUUGCUUUAUGUGUAUUUUAUAUUUAUAUUAGCUGUUUAUUUGUUGUUUUUUCUAAAAUAACUUUAAGUAUGAACAAAACUAAUUAAAACUUGAGCUGUCACUGUCAA
Biomphalaria pfeifferi is the source of this 468-nucleotide non-coding RNA. Lineage: Eukaryota; Metazoa; Mollusca; Gastropoda; Planorbidae. The record is from the annotation of a GenBank genome assembly.